Long non-coding RNA from Bombus terrestris (buff-tailed bumblebee), 12729 nucleotides. RefSeq lists it as uncharacterized. The transcript is spliced from 4 exons. The record is from RefSeq and is a predicted model, not a curated record. NCBI's taxonomy places the organism in Eukaryota, Metazoa, Arthropoda, Insecta, Hymenoptera, Apidae.
CGAUCGCUAGAUCGCUAGAUGCUAACGCUAGAAAUACCACACCAGUGAAAAUGACUGGUUCUGCGAUUUUAUAAAUGUGCCAACCCUCGUUUAGGGAUCAUUUUAGGGAUCAUCGUUAAUAAUACUAAAAAUGUACUACAUAACAUGGAAUUCCUUCUGAAAGAAAGUAACAAAUCAAUAAAUAUAAAGAUAUUCUAUUAUUACGUAUGUUUUAAAGACCAGUCAUUUUCACUGGCUUUGGUAGAAAUAGCUUCGUGUUAACUAUCGGUAGUUGUAGCGUCAAGGGACGAAGCUCGUCGAUCGGAGUUGAAGAAAUUAGUCGUUCGGUUUAGCGUGGACGUUUGUGCAUUUAUGCGACAUAGUGCAGGUUUUUUAUUCGUGUUGCACUUCUUCCUCAAAGAAUGAAAUUACGUUGAUACGUUUUCAUUUCACGUUUCUGCACAUUUUUCAAGUAAAAGCGUGUACAUUCGUUCUAGACAUUUUUCAACUAAAAGCGACUGAAAAAUCGUUGAAAAUGGUAGAAAAUCUGUCACCUUGUACGCGUUAACGAACGUAUUAUUUCGCUGUUCCUUUGACUCUUACGAGUCAGUUACGUUGAUGAACGCGCGAAAUUGCAUAAUCAUCCGCAGUGUACGUGGUCAUUAGUCGUGUUGCGUAAAAUAGGCGUAGGAAAAGAGUCGUAUCGAAGGAAAAAUCAAGAGCCAGAAGGGACGAGUGCAGAGUGAGUCUAGGUCCGGUUCUCGCGGAGGCUCUCCGUGACACAGCCAUGGAAUACCGAUUGCUCACUCUCCCAUGGCGUUUCCUGUUCCGACCACGUAUCCCGCUUUCAAAAUACGAGCCACACAGAGGACGAAAGAGAAUGAAAGAAUAUGAAAGAGGAGAGACAAAAUGAUCACUGGGGUUGGCUUCUAUUUCCUGGAUUUAUUUUGUAAUUUAAAUUUACUCGACAACUUUUAUACUCACCAUCGUUCGUUUGAUUUUCGUUCUUUUACUUGGAACUUCAUUUCGCUCGAGCAGCAUCGAGAUGACACUUAUAAAGUUCCCGUUCUUCGCGUUCAACGCGCAAAAACUGUUCGAAUUUAUCUCAACUUGUGGAGUGUUUCGACAGCUCACAUACGGGGUGUCCAGUUUUAAUUUGUAAAUUCGUUCCUAUUCUAUCAUCCAUUGCCCGAAGCUUUAUAUCUUCGUAACCGAUAAUAUCUACAUCGGCGUGUUUCUAUCAAGCUAACGUAAUACAAGUGGUAACGGAAGAACACGUUUUGUACAUGGACUCGGCUAUGAAACACGAAAGACGAAGGAAAAUGAAAUCAACGUUGAAGCGGCACUCCGAGGAUCCUACGUGUUACGUCGAUGAAAAGUCUCAAUUUAUAAGACACAGAGUCUGAGCAGAAUUAACGAUCGUACAGAGAAAUUUCAUUAUUAUUUCAUUCGUUUAUUAUCAUUUUAGAUGGAAAUUAUGACAAUGUCCGUAACGUCCGGGGCACUUCAGGAUCUCAUAGCGAGCAAUCAAGAGUUAAGUGAAAAAAGUCGAGUAAAGCAGAGUUAUCCUUAUGCCAAGUCGUAUCAUCCUGACCACAAUGACUGUGUGUGUCACUGCGUGUCGAAAUUUCGCAACACCAUUUUUCGACGAAAUUACCGAAGAACAAAGACGUAUAAUCCUACGCUAAAAACGAAGAAGCAAAGACGCUAAAAUGGGGGAAAGAAAGAAAGGAGGAGAAAAAUGGACGACUAUUGUUCUCAGGCGUAUUAUGCGCGUCAUUCCACGCCUUUUAUUCGUCUGUGUUCAUCGCCGCGCGAAGAUCCGCAUUUACUCGCCAAAUACCGAUCCAGGAUAUUCGUUUUUAAAUCAUCGUCGUCGUCGGCCCGCCUGGGAUUACUCGGCCGACCUGCACAGCUCUGGAAAGCUCGAUUAAUUCCUUGCACUCGUUGACCUUUACUGGUCGCGAUAUGCAGUUGCGCUGGCCGAUAAAAACAGCUUCCCCUUGAAACGUACGAAACGCGUUUUCACCACCCACUCGCUCCCAGAAUUCGCUCUUCUUUUUAUGUAACGGUACUCCUUUCUUUUUUUCUCUUUUUGUCAUAUGUACGAGUACGUUCUUGAAGUACUUUUUAUAACGAUAGUUCUAUAGAUUUUCCGGCUUAUACGAAUACGAGGCUCUCAGAAGCCAAAUUGACCCACUUCACUUUUUAUAAAGCGUUUGAUUUCACAUUAUCCAGAUACAUAAAGCCACACGUACAGCUACGAAAUGUUUUUGUACAUACUGUUAGCCUGUAACGAGCCAGGCUUUUCAUCAGGUUGCAUAAUUUAUUCUCGUAAGAGCAAAGUUUCGUAGUCAUAGGAGAGGCGCUGUGUAACGAUAUAAAACUCAAUGUAAUAUUUGCACUUGAUUAAUUAGUACGUAAACGUUGAGGUAAAUAUCGUAGAAUGGUGUACAAAUAAUUUUUAUGGCCAUUGUAAUUAGCAUUGAAUUUCCGAACCCUCAGCCGCCACUUGUGUCAAUUUGACACGCUUUCGAAAGAAGAUUCUAUUAAUCGUUCUCUUAUAGAACAAUCUUUCCGAAACUUUCUGACUCUUUAUCUAUCUCUGUUCUUUUUAUUCCUCGCGAAGAAUGCGGAAUUAAUAAUUAAUUAUUAAUAAUAUUUAUCUCGCCGUUUCAUCGAGUCACACCGGUAGGAUAAAAUAAAGAUAGCGAAACGCGUUAAAAUUAGAAUUAAAAAUACCUGCUUUCGUAAAUUUAUCCGCCGUAAGAAGAUAGCGAUAAGGAAUUGUAAAUUGGAAGGGAAUUAAAGAAGCAUAACGUCUAUGAUUGUGUCGGUUCUUCGAAACUAUUGCGUUUCAACGAUGUAGCUGAACGUACAGUCUAGCGAGGCUGUGCCUUAAGUACAAGCUAAUGCGAGACAGUUAAAGUAAACCAUUAUAGAAAAUGAAAAUCAAACGCGCUGUGAACUUGUUAACGAGAUGUUUUUCCAAUUACAUUCUCGUCGCGUGUUAUCGUAAUAGUGUCAAUGGCGAACGAAUGUGCUUACGCACAAUGUGCGUAUAUAUAGACGCGAGAGAAAAUUGUGAAGCGAUGCAGCUCUCGAGACGUAGCGCGACGAUAAGAAGCCUCGUUAUCUUUAUGGCUGGCUCGCGGCGUUGCUCGCGGGACGAGCCGAUAAUUUCGUUAAAAUUUAACGUAAAAACUCGUUCUCUUCCUGUUACGAAGGGUGUGUAUACCGGUGGGCACACGAUCCGCUUGGCGCCAGACGAGAAUCACUGUGUCUGCUAUCGGAUGCAGCGAUUGCCUCUCGGCGAGGGCAGAGAAAAUCGAGGUACGAGACGGGAAAACCCGUCCUCGGCUUCUGCCGGCGAUUCACGGCACGUAGAAGAUCAUACGAACGUACGCCCGACACGUUAUAUCCAUGGCAAAGGUGGAUACCAUUAACCAGUUAGCUAUUUUCGACCAGUAUACUCGUCGUGAAGAAAUACCAAUAUUUUCUGUUACGUAGACUAUACUCGGCCGUGAGUAAGGAAAAAAGGAGAAAGAAGGAAAACGAUCAUUUCAUUACAACUUAAUUCUGUGUUUGACCAGUAUACUCGUCGUGAAGAAAUGCCAAUAUUUUCUGUUAUAUCAAGUAUACUCGUCCUGAGUAAGGAAAAAAGGAAAAAGAAGAAAAGCGAUCAUUUCAUUACAACUUAAUUCUGUGUUAUAACAACCACACAUACUCUGUGUUUGACAAGUAUACUCGUCGUGGCUUACUUUUUGCGCCACCUUGUAGGUACACACUUUUCAAAGAGGUCGCAAUCAGCUAACUGAUUAAAGGAUCCUUACUAUCGGCAAUUCUAUUGUGACAUCGUAAACAUUGUUGUAUUAAAAUGUAUUAUAUAUCCUGUGUAAUUACGUAUACAGAGGAUGAGUCAUGCAGGAUGAGCCACUGAAAUAUCUCUUUUAAUUUUGGAGACAAGAAAAAGUGUUUGAAACAGAAGUUGUUCGUUUCCGACAACGAGCCGUUACACGAAGGUCCAAACUUUUUAUCAGAUGGACGCACUUAAAAGAUUUACAGAUUACAUACGUUUUUCUUUUUUUGAUGGAACAAUGUAUUUUUUCAACACCUGCGGUUCUCAGGAGAAUCUCAAUGAUCAUCGGAGAUCACUGAAAGUCACAGACUUUAUAUAUGUAAUAAUGGAUGAGAAAUCAUGCUAACGUUUCUCAAACAAAAUACUCUGUUCUCCUUUUGUUAACAGGACCGUUGACUCCUCCGAUUUGAAAUGUAAAAGUUCGUUCCUUAAACGUUUUUCGUUAUCUAGAAAAUUGAAAGAAUCAUCAAGGUAGCUCGUUUUGGGUAACUCAGCUUGGACAUCGUAUCUGCGUGUAAAAUAUCUUAAGAUUUGUUUGUACGAGAUCUGUCCAUCUGUCUCUGUAACUGAGUGCUGUAGAGUAAUUAAUUAUUAGCAAUUAUACAGUACUUAGAGUCGAUGUACAAAGUAUGGCUUCGUCGUUUAUGGGGUACCUUAAUGAGCGAUCCUACAAAGCGUAUGACUCUCCGGAUGGUUAGCCAGCAACGGCACUUCAAUUUGUACGAGUGGAAAAUGAGGAAUAUCGCGAGUUACAUCUGACGAUGACCGAGAAACGAAGAACGUGGACGAAGAGAUAUGGAAAUCGUGCAGGACAAUUUGAAAUCGAUUAGAAGCAAAGCUGAAACGUUCAAACAAGUCGUUAUAGGCGAUGAAUCAUGGGUCUAUGGCUACGACCCUGAGACCAAAUUCCAAACCUCGGUCAUUGUGAAACGCCAUGAUUUUCCACUCGUACGAGGUACGUCGAACGAAUAAAUAGACCUCGGAUUUUUAUGCAAUUUCGCAACUUCGUCCACGUAACUGGCGUGAUGCGACCUACGUAGAAAGUUAUUUCUCCUAUUAACCAGUUGGUUAACUACGGAAUUUAGUUUUGCAAAUCUCUCGUGGGCUGCGCAAAUAAAACAGGCGAUGAUGAGUUUACGCGUCAAACACGGGCGAAAUGCUCGUGUUGUACAUUUUCCAACGAAAUUAAAGCGAAACGACGAUGGCUUACAUUUUUAUGGUUACAUAAAAUUUCAAAAUUCCAGCAAAAUUAUAAAAUCCAUAAACAAGAGAAAUGGACGAACCAUGUAAGAGAUUCGGUGGGUCUUUUCAGUGUGGAAUUCUUCGAAACAGAGUACGAACACAUUUUCGAAAUGAAUUUCCUUCUGACGAUAUAAAUUUGGACAAACGUUCUCCACGAGAGGCGUAGGUUUUGCAGCGGUUGCUGUGCAACGACAUAGUUUUGCACUUGCAACUCGUAGUCGGUCGACCAACUUUCCAAGUUCGGGUAUGUGGAAUUUGUCCCGUAAUUUGUCCGACACGUCCGACCAAAAAAUUUAAUCGUAUUAUAUGUGUUAUAUUAUAUUCCAAUCGUUAUCGAGGAUACACCGACAUACGCGUGAAAAUAUCCAUCCAUUUUGUAGAGAAACAAGAUUACGCAAACAAUUCCAACAUUCCCGAUAUAACGUGAAAAUAAUCAACUCGGUUUGUAAAAAUUGUUAAUUAAACAAUGCACGGGGAAUAACCGAUAUACCAAAGAGAAUAAUCAAAUUCUUCCUCAUAAAAUACAUAGCAGUUUUAUUGGCAAUAGUAACGUGCCAAAUUUCUAUCGCUUCUUACUACAAUUUCAAUUCUUUAUGGUAAAUGGUAAUUUUUAUUUCAUACUCGUCAAACGCACCGAAAUACACUUUCUGUUUGACGUGUAUACUCGUCGAACGAAGUUAACUGGUUAAAACGUUACAGGUGUUUCUUUCCCGUAUUUCUUACGUUCUUACGCGUCGCGCGAAUUCUGUACACUUUCCCGCUUUUCGAAAGAAACGCAGGAAAAUCCAGGGUCUAACAGUUAAUCGAGAAAACGCGAACGAACUUAUCGUUCGACCUGGCAGAGUCUGGCCAACGAUUUCACGUGCCAUACGAGCGAAAUAGCGAAAUAAAGAUAGAAUUUUAAGUGCAAUUUACCAUCGAACCACGUGGUUCGAAGAGAAAAUUGUCGCAGCUCGAGGAUGCCGACGUAGCUGACUCGACGAUCCGAGGUACGCGAUUUCGCUCGUUGUAUCUCGUCUUCUCCGACCGAAACUUUCUCAUUCUGGGAACUUUGAAACACGUUGGAAAACGAUCGUCGAGCGGAAAGAGCGGCGAACGAGAGACUUUUGGCAGCGAAGCCGCGAGCGUCCGCGUAGUUGCGCUCGUCAGGAGCCGAUUUUAGGGGCUAAACGUUGGCGAGAGGAGAAAAAGCGGCGUAUUUUGAUGCGCGCGCGAGCCGGCCUGCGCCUAUACGCGGCGAGUACUCGUACUCGAGAGUGCACGAGUGCUCGUUCACUGCACUCUCUCGCCGGCUGCAGGAAAGUGGUUUGGACCGUUAAAGCGGCGCUUUCGUUCCGCGCCUGGCCAACUACGAAACUUCCAAUCCAGUGUUUUCGUACCUUUCCUCUUUCAAAAACUUAAUCUCGCCCGUUUGUCACCAUCUUCCCCUGCUACGAGUGAUCUUCGUUGCUUUAAUCUUGCUCGCGUCGUUCUCUGCGCCUGAGAAGAAAUCGCAUAAUUUACGAACGCAUGUCAGAUCGUAUUAUCGAAUUGCGCACAUACUUUUACGUGUUAUUUGGUUGGAUACAUAUAACUAUUGUUUGAACUAGUAUCGUGCUAAAUAACUGUUUGUACUAAUUAAUUCUCAACUAUCGCUUUUAUCGGUAUCUACUAACCACGUAACGAGAGAUAAGAUCGGAGACGAAAAUCGGAGAUCGAAGAGCGUGUCUUACACGUUGCCUAUGAUUUCAGUGUCGAGAUACUCGCGCAUGGUACAGUUUUAUAUAUGUCGAGUUCUCUUUUGGAAUCAUCGUUUGGAUCGGCCAUUGUUGUUAUACAAUAUAGAUGAUAUUUACUGGAACAAAUAUGAUUACAGAAUUUGACAAGUAACCGUGGCGAUUAGAUAGUCGAGAUGCUAAUGACAAUGGUCUUAGGUUCGAUAACGAAUACACGGCCAACGGGAUAACAAAUGCGUUUUCUUGCAAAGUCUAAGUCGAAUUCGACUUACUUGUGCACGAUUCAAGUGUAACUAAACUUACUUGUCCACGGUGCACGUAGAAGUCAAUUUACUAGUAUCAGACCAAGUGGAACUGCACUUAUAUUCUCUUCUCUGUACCUCUCUGUAUCCCUCGCGUUAAAUAUAUCUUUUAAAAGGGAGCUGUACAACUACUCCAUACCUCUGUUAGGUAAAAAUGUCCAUCCUGUGGCUACGUUUAGCGACCGGAGUGUCACUUUGAGUCCAAGCCUACUGUCAUAAAUCUCGGGCAAACAUAAUCGGAUUGAAUCAUAAACAAGUACUUCUAAAUUUAUUGGAAUACAGGUAUUAUUAUUUAAGUACAGCUAUAAUAAAAAAUCUAGACUAAAGUAUUGGGCAUCUUGCCAAAAAUUCCAAAAGGAAGGACCCCAUGUUCUUUUAUCUCCUACAUAUAAAUUUUCUUUUUAUUAUUAAAUUUGUACUUUACAAUUAGCUGAGUUAGAAGCUUAAUUGCUAAAUCGACACGUGGAUGGCCACUCUCAGCGAGAUACUAUCUUCGAGUUUGUCUAUUUUAUUUCUUUAGUGACGUCAAUAGAGUGUUUUCUCUUCGGUCUUCUUUUUAUCAGAGUGUUUUAUGCGUAUCAAAUAAGAAAGAAACGACGGACGACAGACUAUCGUAUUAGACGAAUAACGCGCCACGUAUCUUCUUGUAUUUUCCACUUGAAUUCGUAUCGCGUACGCGUAUCUUGGUGUCUAACUAGCCUAAAGCAAACCCUGGUGGGUAAACUAAAAGCUGGGAUGAUCCUGUCGGCGAGUGUUUGAAACUUCGCGUAAUGCGAUUAACGAGAGACGAGUUAUAUGUAUGCAACAACUUUCAGCGUUCUUGGAGAUUCAAUUAGCCAGGCUGGUUAUAGGCGCACGUGACGCACAUGGCGCACGUGCUGUGGCUGCGUAUCGAUCAACGCAUAUUCACAGAGCACGACAGAACCGCGACAGAUACGGUAGAAACACUCUGUACACCGUCUAUUUACGGAAUUGUCUACGCAGUGUUGGGCCACGCCGAGGACAACGCAAAUGGAUCGCGAUUCCGCUUCCAUUCUUAUCAACCGUACGCUAUACGCCUACAGGCUGCCUCAAAAGAUUGGCGCCGAGCUUUAAGAUACAUUGUAUGAUACUAUAGAUAAAUUAUAUUAUACAGAAUGUCUCUAGUAACUGGAACAGGCUAUAAAACUUUGUUCCAAGCGAAGUUAAGAUAUAUUGUAUCAUAUUAUAUAGGGUGUCUCCAGCAACUGGCAUAGAAUAUAGAACUGUGUUGCAAGUGAAAUUAAGAUGUAUUAUACUAUUAUAGAUGUGUUAUAUUAUGUCAUAUAUAUUGUACUAUGCUAUAGAUAUAUUAUACAAGAUAUAUUACAUUAUAAAAGGUGUCUGUAAUAACUGGGACAGGUUAUAGGACUUUGUUGCAAGUGAAGCUAAGAUAUAUUAUAUUAUAUGAUACUAUAGAUAUAUUAUAUUAUACAGGGUGUCUCUAGUAACUGAGACAGGCUAUAAAACUUUGUUCCAAGCGAAGUUAAGAUAUAUUGUAUCAUAUUAUAUGGGGUGUCUCUAGCAACUGGUAUAGAAUAUAGAACUGUGUUGCAAGUGAAAUUAAGAUGUAUUAUACUAUAGAUGUGUUAUAUUAUGUCAUAUAUAUUGUACUAUGCUAUAGAUAUAUUAUACAAGAUAUAUUAUAUUAUAAAGGGUGUCUGUAAUAACUGGGACAGGUUAUAGGACUUUGUUGCAAGUGAAGCUAAGAUAUAUUAUAUUAUAUGAUACUAUAGAUAUAUUAUAUUAUACAGGGUGUCUCUAGUAACUGGAACAGGCUAUAAAACUUUGUUCCAAGCGAAGUUAAGAUAUAUUGUAUCUUAUUAUAUGGGGUGUCUCUAGCAACUGGUAUAGAAUAUAGAACUGUGUUGCAAGUGAAAUUAAGAUGUAUUAUACUAUAGAUGUGUUAUAUUAUGUCAUAUAUAUUUUAUUAUGCUAUAGAUAUAUUAUACAAGAUAUAUUACAUUAUAAAGGGUGUCUGUAAUAACUGGGACAGGUUAUAGGACUUUGUUGCAAGUGAAGCUAAGAUAUAUUAUAUCAUACUAUAGAUAUAUUCUAUCAUAUCAUGUAUAUUAUACCAUGUUAUAGAUAUAUUAUGUCAUACAGGGUGUCUCUAGUAACUGGGGCAGACUAUAGGACUUUGUUGCAAGUGAAGUUAAGAUAUAUUCUAUUAUAUCAUAUAUAUUAUACUAUGUUAUAGAUAUAAUAUACAGGGUAUCUCAAGUAACUGGGACAAGCUAUAGAACUCUGUUGCAAGUGAAGUUAAGAUAUAUUGUAUUAUAUUAUGCGGGGUGUCUCUAGUAACUGGCGCAGGCUAUGUAGCUCUGUUGGAAGCAAAGUUAGAGAAAAAUCGUAGAGGAAAACUUUCCACUGUUUAACGCGAUUUAUCGUAUUACCGUACUCGCGCGGAUGCUUUAGUACACUGCAGUUGCAGAGUGCAGAUACACUUUUUCAUUUAAACGGAACUAUAUAAUUCGCUUGUAAAGCAUUCGAUGUACUUUACCGUUCCAACGUGAUAUAAAAAUGUAUCAUGGUAAAUAGUUGGAGAAAGUAAUUACUUUGAAAGAUGUUGGAAUUUUGUAAAAUUUCGCGGAUGAGAAAGAAGGAGAAAAUCAACCCGCAAUACUUGUGCCUCUGAUUCUUCUGCCUUCCAUGCGCAAAAUUUCUCGCCAUUGAAAUCGAAAUAACUUUUAAAGUGGUUUCAGCUUUUUUUUGGCUCGAGUAACAUAAUAUCUUUCUGUAAACGAUAAAAACUUGCAUCGGCUGCUUUAUAAAUAAUUAUAAAGUUUCAUUUGAGAAAAGAAUACAGUUUCACCGUUGCAUCCGCGAGAAAAUUACGAUAGAGGCUGUUAAACAGUGAAAAUUUUUCCUUUUCUCUUUUCUUUGUUAUAUUCAUCAUAUUUCGUGUUUAAUCGCGAUACAAGGACAUUUGCGAUUAUUUUAUGUACAUCUACUCUUACGAUAUCUCUGAAUAAGAUUAGAUGCUACUUAUCAUUUCUACGAUAACUUCGUUUUCCUUUCGUUUUUCACGGUCCAGAAAAAUCGACGCAGCAGAACGCCGAUUUGCAAAAUUUUCCUCUACGAUCUUCUCCCAAUUUCACUUGCAACAGGGUCAUAGCCUGUCCCAGUUACCAGAAACGCUCUGUAUAGUACGUGAUAUAUAUCGUGCGCCUAAAUUCACGGUACGAGCGAAUCUCAGGCAGCUUGUCUGACUGAAAACGAUACAAGCUUCAAGAAUAACAAAACUACGCUUUAUUCUCGAGAGACUGCAGCUUGAAAACUCUUGUACCCAACUAAUUCUCGACUAGAUAGGAAUGGAUAAUUCGUCGUUGCACUUCUCCACUGUUUUACCUACAUUAGUUCGUAAACAGAGGAAAUCGAGUCCCGAUAGAAUAAAGUUUAUAAAGUUGAAUAUUAUCGUGAGGAGUUUGGACUUAAAACAACCGAACAUUUCUCGCUAUCCGAGCGUACAACUUCCACCGUAUUGUCACCAACGAGACGUAAAUACGUGCGUCGAUUAAUUAUACUCUUUUCCUUAACCCUUUCGCUUCGAGUGCCGCUUUAGGCGGCGCCCGCGAGAUGACCCGUGGGUACGAAUAUGCGACGAAUCCUGAUUUCGGCACCCCAUAUAUCGGGCAUACGCCAGUGCCAUCUGUAGUCAGUAAUAUAUUUUUUCGUUAUCGGCAGAACAUUUUCUGUUGAUUUUAUUAAUAUAUUGGAUUAAUCACUUCUUAAAAAAUUACUCAUUGUUGAAACAACGUCAGAAUGUUUUACGCAAUAUAUUUCAAACAUCCAAACCUCGUAUACUGUGUCGUGCUAAAAAAUCUGUUAGUGAAACGAUACUUCAUAUACGGUUCUUACAAGAAUUACUGUUAUUUAAGACUUAGGAAAACGUAUAUACAGCAACCAUGCACACUGUGCGCAUUUCUGGCGCACGCUUCCGUUCAGUGACAGUACUUCGGCGGAUUGGACUGCCGAAGCGAAAGGAUUAAAAUAGUUGGAUCAGUUAAGAACUAUUAGGUUGGUAACUAAGUGAUUGCGGGUUUUGCCAAUACCACCUAAUGACAAAAUCCGCAAUCAUUUAGUUGCCAACCCAUUAUAUUUGCUCCUCAAUUUUUCAUUUUCUAUAAUCAACAUACCAGAGAACAAAUACGGGGAAUUGGAAAAUAAUCAGAUAUUUUGACACGUGUGAGUUAUGUGUUUUUUGUGAGUUAGAUGUGUCAAUACCGCCUAGUGACAAAAUCCGCAAUCACGUAGUUGCCAACCCAAUAGAUCGACGAUGAAUUGGCAAUGGGAGGUCGCGCUACACGCGAAGAAAGAUGCCGGAUACUCUGCCGCUGUAUACAACGUAGCUUCGUACGAGACUAGCCUCAGGGAAAAAAGAGGAAAAGAAGGAACGAGAGGCGAACGAGGAAUAAGUGGAUCAACGGAAGAGCGACGGAUCGUGAGACAGAAUCGAAUAAUGGAGCGUGGAAGGUUGACAGAACGGUCGUUAAUCAAAGCGAUUAAUCGAAUGUCACGGAACACGUCCGUCGCUGAAUUCCACGGCUUAGAGAACGGUACUUGAACGGCCUGUACAUUGCACAAUACUUUCCAAUCUUCGGCCAUAAUGAGCCGCAACAACGCGCCACCUGCGAAAUGGAGCAUUUUAUCCGCGUUUCCUCUCCUCUUUUCUUCCUACAACUGAAUCGUGACGGCAAUCCGGUGUCCUCUGUAUAUUCCUUUAGACUAUGGCCGCGUCUGCAUGACUCAAGGUUCAGCCUCGUAUCGAUUAAAAACCAAAAGAACGCACGUAAUUACGUUUGCACGCGAAAUCGAUCGAGCAUUUAUUCGAGUCUCUGCCAUGUUGUAAUAUUAAUCGAGCACGUCCACGGUUCGUUAUUUUAUUCUUGCAAUCUCGUUUGAAACAAUCGCUUUGGAAAUGCAAAGGAAGAAAAAUGAUUUUAUAUUGGCUUGGCAACUAAGUGAUUGCGGGUUUUUACAUUAGGUGGUAAUGACAAAAUCCGCAAUCACAUAGUUGCCAACCUAUUAUAUUUGCACCUCGAUUUUUCAUUUUUUAUAAUCAACACACCAGAAAAUAAAUACGCGGAAUUGGAAAAUAAUCAGAUAUUUUGAUACUUGUGAGUUAGGUGUUUUUGUCAGUUAGGUGUGCCAAUACCACCUAGUGACAAAAUCUGUAAUCACAUAGUUACCAACCUAUUAUAUUUGCUCCUCUAUUUUUCAUUUUUUAUAAUCAGCACACCAGAAUAUAAAUAUGGGGAAUUAGAAAAUAAUCAAAUAUUUUGACACUUGUGAGCUGGAUGUUUUUUGUCAGUUAGGUGUGCCAAUACCACCUAGUGACAAAAUCUGUAAUCACAUAGUUACCAACCUAUUAUAUUUGCUCCUCUAUUUUUCAUUUUUUAUAAUCAGCACACCAGAAUAUAAAUAUGGGGAAUUAGAAAAUAAUCAAAUAUUUUGACACUUGUGAGUUGGAUGUUUUUUGUCAGUUAGGUGUGCCAAUACCACCUAGUGACAAAAUCUGUAAUCACAUAGUUACCAACCUAUUAUAUUUGCUCCUCUAUUUUUCAUUUUUUAUAAUCAGCACACCAGAAUAUAAAUAUGGGGAAUUAGAAAA